AAUGGAAUUGCUAGGUCAUAUGGUAAGUCUAUGUUUAACUUUUUAAAGAAAUUAAAAAACUGUUUUUCAAAGUGGCUGUACCAUCUUCAUCUUACAUUGUCAUCAGCAGU
Molecule: microRNA precursor, 110 nt
Filed under: Marmota monax (woodchuck)
Lineage: Eukaryota; Metazoa; Chordata; Mammalia; Rodentia; Sciuridae
Source: RNAcentral